Molecule: non-coding RNA, 1980 nt
Organism: Ciona intestinalis (vase tunicate)
Lineage: Eukaryota; Metazoa; Chordata; Ascidiacea; Phlebobranchia; Cionidae
Source: RefSeq, a predicted model, not a curated record
UACUGAUUUUUGAUUGUCGAUUACCGUCAAAAAGUUAAACAGGGAAAUCGGCCGUUUAAGUGUCUGGCGGAAUUGCAAAUUUGUAUUUUUCAGAGUUGGUAACGCGAUAUAAAGUCGAUUUAAGCAGUUGUAGGUCAUAGGUCAACUGGUUGGCGAAAAAGCGCGCCAAAAAAGAAGUUUGUGGAGUCCACUGUAAUAUAAGAUAGUCGGAUUUUUUACAGAAAUUGGAACGUUGUUACUUCAGAUACGGCGUGUUUUAACAUAGGAGUAUGUGCGUACGUAAGUAGCGAAAAUUAUUCUCAAAUUAGUAAGAUUCUACCUAAUAUAGUAAUUUACAAGUAAGUAUGUUCUUACACUACAGAUAGAUUUGAUGCAAUUUAUUUGUUGUUUAUGUUCCGCCCUCGGCAACUUCUUUCAAGGGUGGAGGGAGAUAGAAGAGGGGGUGAAGGUGGAUGAAGAUGCUGGACCUAGUGUGCGGCCUCAGCGUCCACUUAACCGGCAAAACCCUAUGGAAGUGCACACAAGGAGUUUCGAUCUCGGUAUCGAUUACUCAAAUGUGUUUUCCUGAACCUGCUUGGUAUUUUGCUUCCCAGUUUGCAGGUACGCAGCCAGGCCACCCCACCAAUGUUCCAGCUUUUGGUGUGCUUGCAUUUUUUUGCUACAGGACACUUUCAAAAGAGUGACGGGAAUCUUUUGAUGUUAGAUCAGUCAACUGUGAGCAGAAUUGUUAAACGGAUUUCGGGAGUCAUUGCUCGUCAUUUUGGAAACUCAAUCCGGACACCGACUGCGACCGAGGUGUUGAAGUUGAAGCAACAAUUUUAUGUCGUUGCAGGUUUCCCGUGUGUGAUUAGAGCAAUCUACUGCACACAUAUCCCAAUCUGCUAUCCUGGUGGUUUGGAAGCAGGACAAUUCCCUAACAGGAAGGGAUAUUUUUCCAUCAUGUGCAGUGUGUGUGUGUGAUGCCUCGAUGCAAUUUUGGAACGUUGUUUCAAGAUGGCCAUGCUCCACGCACGACUCCCGCAUCUUUGAUAACAGUAAACUGUUCACUGAAAUGGAAAGCUUACUAGGCAAGGGGAUACUGCUGGGAGAUAGGGGGUACGCAGCAAGGAGCUAUUUAAUGACACCGAUGCAAAAUCCAUCUACACCUCAGGAAGUCCGUUACAACCGAAGCUAUAUAAGAACACGAUGCACAAUCGAACGAGCUUUUUUUUAAAAAACAACAGUUUCGCUGUUUGUGCAUUGCUCUGCGGAUCAAACUGGACACGUCUUUGACGAUCAUCACCGCCAUUGUUUGUUUACACAACUUGGCUAUUGACAAGAAAGAAAUAUUUUGCCUGACGAGAAAGAAAUCGGUGAUGCAGUUACAUCCCCCUCCCCACCUGUCGACGACGAUGUACCUUUAACAUCACACGGAAGUGUGUUUCGGAGACAUUUCAUUUGUGCAUUUAUUUUUUAUGUUUCGGAGACAUUUAUUUCAUCUUGCAACAUUUUUGAAAUGCAUUUAUUUUUUUAUGUAUACAUGUAUGAGUAAAAUCAUGAAAAAAUGCUCGUUUUUGUUUUUAUGUUGUUAUUUUAUUCUUCUUUUGUAAUCUGUUUUUGUGCUCGGUGACCUAAAUUUGUAUCUCGAGGAAGCGCCUCUGUCCUGGUUUAACAAAAAAAAAUUCGAGAAUUGAUAAAUUUGGGUAGAGCAGCAGGUCAGAUCGGCUGUUGCUUGUUUCUAUUGUAUAUAUAUAUAUAUAUAUAUUUGGUUGUUAAUUUGUUUCAUUUAUUAAACCAUAGUACUCUAAAACCACAGUACACUAACAUGGUAGUUCAACUCAAUUUUCACCUUUGUUUCUUUAUUGUGCGCACAGUUCCUCCUCACGCAUGAGUGCUUCUCUACAAGACCUCGUUCAACUGCUGCAUACACUUGGUGUUUAAUACGUUUUCUGUUUGAUUAGUGAGUAUAUAAGUCACUAAAUAGAUAAUUAGCAUGCCUGC